Sorghum bicolor (sorghum) is the source of this 1805-nucleotide long non-coding RNA. RefSeq lists it as uncharacterized. NCBI's taxonomy places the organism in Eukaryota, Viridiplantae, Streptophyta, Magnoliopsida, Poales, Poaceae. The transcript is spliced from 2 exons. The record is from RefSeq and is a predicted model, not a curated record.
CUCCACCGUCGCCCUCCUCAGUCCCUCCUCACCCCGCCACCGCACUUCUGCAUCUGGACACUGCUCAUUCAGUCUCCUGCUCUUCUGCCUCCCCACCCCACCGACGCACUUCUGCAUCUGGACACUGCACUCCUGAUCCCUCAUCUCCUUCCACUCUACUAGCUCUGCGCAUGACGCAAGUAACGCAGCACUUCUUCCUGCAUCUCCGCUCAACUGCUCGCUCGUGCUCCCUCAAACAACAGCAGCCGCACUCCAACAGCCACCAUGUGCAUCUCCUUUCAAUUCUUGUCUGUGAUUGGCUAGAGGAUAGAAGAAAAACCAUGGGUAGUGGAGCUCCGUGGCCCUGGAGGAGUCUUGUUUAUUUUUUCUUUUGUAUUUUAUUUGGAUUUUGAUUUUCUGAGAUGGACACUGGACCUAUUUCAUGGCAAACCAGAUGUAUGAGAUUCUUCUUAACUGUGAAUUUGCUAGGGGUUUUCGAUUCGCUUUUUGUCCAUAGUAAUUAGUUGGAUUUUGUAACGGGGAGCUGCUGCGGCGGCGGCGGGGCGAGCUGUUGCAGCUGGCCCACACGCUCCGCCUCGUCCGCCCGCCUGUUGUCUGGGUCGUCGUCGAGCCCGCCGCCGACGCGCCCGCCACCGCCGAGGUGCUCCGCGGCACCGGCGUCCUGUACAGGCACCGGCUCGCUGGCGUCCUCCACUUCGCCGAUGCCGCCGGUGUCUACGACGUCGGGUUCUUCGACCAGAUCCGACAGAUCGAGCUAGAAGAUGCAGCCAGUGACAUAGAACUCUGAAUCGGGAGGUAAUAAAGGGCCCGUAACCUAAUUUGAUUCCAUUAUGUGCUUGGUUCUCUGAUUUGCACUUCAAGUUCAUGGCAAAUUGGCAGCAUGAGGAUACUCCUUCAACUAGUAUUUUUUAUGUUGACCAUCUGUCCAUCUCAAGUUUCUUUUCGAUGCUUGCUGCUUGAACAGGUCAGCACCACAGUUGCUGAUACUGUCGCAUAGUACAUGUGCUGGUGAAGAACUUGUUCUUUGCGUUGCCUAAUGUACUUUAAUCAUAAAAAAUAUUUUGGAGGGCUACAUCCAUUCUUAUCAGCUGUGUUUCCAUUCCUUGCAGGCUCCAGAAACACUUUCAUUUUUGCAUUGACUUCCUAUCAGCAAAUGGUAAAAAUGGUCACUUCUUGAUAACUGUAAUCUAGUCAUUUCUGAUCUCGAUCAUUGACAACAGAAUGAGAAUUUAAAGCUUAAUGAUAACUGUAAUCUGGAAAGAAACUUGAGAUAUAUAUGUCAUUUAUACAUUACAGUGUGCCUAUUCUAGUACAUUGCACCUCAUGCAAGUGACCUCAACCAUGUUUUUUUGUGUGGUUCUAGCUACUCAAUUUACUUGUUGGUAUUGUAAAUCAUACGAUUUUGAACUCUAAUUAUGUUGUAAAUUGCUUAAUAGCUGAUUGCUUCUAUGGAUCCUUUAAAAUUACCUUAAGCAUAUUAGUAAGUUCAUGGUUUGCUUCCAUGCUUGCAGGUCCUAGAGCAAAUGAGUAGCCAAUCACUAUUGACUCCUCUAUAGAGCAACUUGAGCCUUGGAAUUAAUUUGUGUUGUGCGCUGCUGUGUUGCCGCUGUUAUGAGCUGUUCUUGUCACUGUUACACUAUUGUGUCGCUACUGUUAUACAAAUUUGAGACAAUAGUUUCUUGAAUUUUAAGACUAUUAGAGUGAAAUUAUUAUGAUAUCUUGCUGUGUUCGAGCAGCAAAUUCUUGAAUUGUAAGACUAAUGAUUUAAAGAUAAUAUUAUGUGAUGUAUGGGCUGAUUUUUGUGA